This 89-nucleotide transfer RNA is filed under the name Terriglobia bacterium. RNAcentral describes it as "tRNA-Ser". Lineage: Bacteria; Pseudomonadati; Acidobacteriota; Terriglobia. The record is from RNAcentral.
GGAAGGUACUGCUGAAUGGCCGGCAACUGGUCCUGAAAACCGGGGCAUCGUGAUGAGCGACGGGCGUUCGAUUCGUCUACCUUCCGCCA